Molecule: ribosomal RNA, 253 nt
Filed under: uncultured bacterium
Lineage: Bacteria
Description: partial 16S ribosomal RNA
Rfam family: Bacterial small subunit ribosomal RNA
Source: RNAcentral
UACAGAGGUCUCAAGCGUUGUUCGGAUUCAUUGGGCGUAAAGGGUGCGUAGGUGGCGCUGUAAGUCGGGUGUGAAAUUUCGGAGCUUAACUCCGAAACUGCAUUCGAUACUGCGGUGCUUGAGGACCGGAGAGGAGACUGGAAUUCAUGGUGUAGCAGUGAAAUGCGUAGAGAUCAUGAGGAAGACCAGUGGCGAAGGCGGGUCUCUGGACAGUUCCUGACACUGAGGCACGAAGGCCAGGGGAGCAAACGGG